CACCUUCUUCCUGGGUGCAUGUACGAAGUAUGAAUUUCAUAACCCUGAGUCCCCAAUUGCAAAAAAAAAAAAUUAAAAGAAAUCAUAACCCAAAAAGGGGAUGGAAAAAGAAAGAGUUUUGUAUGGGCCCGAAACAAAGUUGUGGAAUACGGCCUAUAUAAAACAGACGAAUUACCCUUAUCCAUCUCAUCCGGUUAUUUCCUACGGAGUAUAAAUAAUAAAACCCGGAAACUCAGGCCAUUUUCCCUCCUCCCUCCUUCUUCAACAAAAUUCACCACGCUUCAAUUCUCUCUCUCAUCUGCUGAUGCUUCAUUCUAACGAACUCGGAGAUAUGCAGCCAUGGAGGAGUUCGGAAGCUCGCUCGUCUACGAAUUGUCUACUUCGCACACAUUAUCAGGAUUUGUGAUUGAGCAACGGACAUAGUAAUCCUGAAAAAAUUGAGAGUUAUAUGAUGAUUCUGGAGUCGUUUUUGCUCAGUGGAGGUGAAAUAUAGUCGGAAAAAUAAAUAAAUUUGAAUAGCUAGUUGAAAUUUAUUACUAUGUUUUUUUUUGGUGCAAAUGAGCCACAAGGGCGGGGAUGAGAAUCGAUCUCAGGAUCAUCUGGAACCGGGAUGGAAGCUCUAACCAACUUAGCUAUCUAUCACUCUCGAGAUUUAUUACUAUGUUGUUGAUGAUGUAUUGAUUUAGCUAAUUUGAUGUAAAUAUUCCAUAAGAUUCGUUGUUUAGUUUGUUGGCAAGUGAAAGCUACGGAGAUCCGAGAGUGUGUGGGAGCUAAAAAUAUUAGAUAACCGGCUUUGAAAAAGGCCGAAAUCCAAAUUCAGGUGAAAUUUAUACUCACCUGUCCCUUAAUACUCGACAUGUUUUGAUCGGACACGAUUGCCGAUGCACAACUUUGACCACCAAUUUCUUUAACUACAUAUUAUAAAAACGUUAAUUUUUUUUAAUAUUUUGAAAAUAUAUAUUAAGAUGAAGCCAACAAUAUAUUAUAUACUAACAUUUAUUUUCAUAUACUAUAAAUAAAAUAGGGUCAAAGUGAAUUAUAUGAAUAGUACAAAGAGUCAAAACAGGUCGAGUAUUAAGGGACGGAGGGAGUAAUAAAGGAUUAUUUCAUUUGGCUUUAUUUUUCACCUCCUUACCAAUUUCAAAUGAUAAGCAUACGCAAGGGCUAACAUUGUCAUCAUCUAAAAGCUUUGUCACUUAAGUUUUCAAAUGAUGUGCAAGGAAGAUGAACAGUUUUGAAAAUAUUGCUGAUGGUCACUUGAUACCUCCGAGGAGCGCGUGCCACAUCAGCACCGUAAAAGUUCCCACAACAGAUUCUAGUGCUUGCAAGACUCUAUCUAUUGGUUGUCCUUCCCUUUGAAUUUGCAUCGUUAUUGUGUGUAAUAAAGCCUAUAGAAAAAGGGGUAAAUUUAGGGCUUAUUUCUAGCUUGUUUUAAGUGUGCUUUAAUCUGACCCUUUUUCUGUUUGUAAAAAGGAGUUGCUAUGCCAUUUUGGCAUGUAAACCUGAGAAGGAGUGUUGUUGGGGAAGUUUAAGGGUAUUGAGUGUAAAUAGCACUCUUUGCCAUCCACUAGAGACAGGAUGUAGUAUUGAAUCAGAAUCAGACUUUCUUAGUGAAAUUCUUUUUGUUACUUUGUGUUGUACAACCCUUCUAUUCUCUAUACUUAGUGUUUUUGUUGUUAAAAAGCCCCUCACAACCGUGAAUCAAUUUCUAGUUGUGCGGUUCUAUCUUUCGUUUUUCGUUUCUUUUGCAAUUCAACUCAUUCCGAAAAUGAUCAUAUUCAAUUACACAUCAAUUGGUUAAAAAUUUGAGUGGAAAGUCUAGGUGGAAGGUAAAAGGAAGGUAUGUUUACAAAUGUUCUUGGAGCUACAUGAGGGACUUGGAGUUAGGAAAUAAGAUAAUAUGAUGAGAUGCGAAGUAGGUAGUGGAGAAUGAUAGUAGGAGGCUGCCCCCUUUACCGUAGGUCUUGGAGUGUCUUUAUAUAGAACUUUAGGUAUGUCGUGGUUGAGGUAAUAAUGCUAGUAGUGCUCCCUUGAUCUUCUCAACCGUCUCCUAGAUCUUCUCAACCGCUUCCUUGAUAUUUUCUAACCAACUUGACCUGAGCAAUAAAUAACCCAUUUUUCCAUGACUGGUCUGACUAGUAAGCAUGUGGAGAUAAUGACUCCUUGAAUGUAGGAACCAACCUUGGUUGCAUUUCUGAUAGGAAUUGAAGUGGGUUGGCACGUGGUGACUUGUUCUCGCGCCGACUACGAUCCGUGUAAAAUGACCCAUAACAAUAGCCCCCAUUUUCCUAAUUGUAGCGAGCCGAAAGUUAGGAAAAUAAUCUUCGAAGUCGUGUCGUGUCAUGACUUCGUCUCGUGACGUCAUGUCGUGUCGUGCUGACAUGUCGUGUCGUCCCGUCGUGUUGUCAUUUCGUGCCAUCGGCUAACACCUUGUCUACAACCACAUUCUCAUAUGCAAAUUUAUUGUUAACUAAAUUCAAAAUCAUAAUAAAUAAUAUGCAUCAACAUACUUCAAAUUACUUUUGAAAGUUAAAUCAUAUAAAAUAAUAUUAUAUGGAAAAUAAAUUAAAUUUAAGUAUACUAUAUGUUCCCCUGUGGCGACUUCAGGACAACUACAAUGUCUCAUACUUGAUACUUGGACUCGAGUUAGCCACAAAAAUCUGGUGUCGCCGAUAACUUUUUGUUGGAUCUCCACUUGUCACCUUUAUUUGUAGAGACUUUGGCUGACUUGGAGGUGACUUCCAACGAGACUAUAUUGUCGUCAUGGCAUUGAUGGAUGACGUCACUUCCUCAUAUUUGUUUAGUGAAGGACUACAAACAAUGUUAGUUUAAUUGAAAAAACAUUGUGGUUGAGUUUUAUACCAUAAUUUUUUGUGCCGCAAAUGAUCAAUCGUCUCGACAGCCUGACAAGGUACGAGACAACUCAUAUUGUCUCUAGUUUGCGGUUUGCGGUGACAUCUCAUGAUGGGAGUUGACUUUGUGACGUCUAGACCGAGACCCGUCACGUAUUAGAAAACAAGGCCAAAUAGUUAGAAUUUAAUAUUAGAAAUAUUAGUACCCAUUUUUGAUGCCAUUAAGGGUUGAUGUCAUUGUUGUCACGAUCUACAUUAUCUAGGUUGGAUUCGACCACUCCGACAGGUCAUCUCUAGCGACGGCACAUUCUGAUGACGACAUGUACCCUGAAGUCAUUCCAUCUUGUAGUGGUGACACAGUCUGAUGACAACACAUACACAUAACCUGGCGACCACAUGUACCUUGGCGUGAUUCCAUCUUCUAGCGACGACAUGUACCGUGGCGUGAUUAAUUCCAUCUUCUAGCGACGACACAGUUUAAUGAAGACACCUAACUCGUUGAUAACAUGUCCCCUGGCGUCAUUCCAUUUUCUAGUGAUGAUGGAGUCUGAUGACGACACCUUACCUGGUGACAUGUGCCCUGACGUCAUUCUAUCUUCCAGACACGGUCUGAUGACGACACAUUCUUGCGACAACCUCUUUGGUGAACCCGGAUGAUGUUGUCGUGAUGGCAGGUCGUAUUUUGUGUUUGGGAGGAUAUUUGUGGGUAUGUAUUUGGAGAUAAAAUCUAGGCAUCCCUCCACAGACGACGCCAAUUUGUUUAUGCCAAAUAUCGCAUGAUGGCCUUUGGUUGGGACAUAGGCGACUAGAUUAAAUCAAGGUAAAUAGCAGAAAAUAAAGGGCGGAAAUAAAGAGAGACGAGACACGAGAUGGUGACGCGGAAAACCCAAAAGAGAUAAAAACCGCGGGGUCCACUAUGUUGCUGGCAUAAAAAGCCUUAUUGAGUACAAGUACAUUGUAUAUUUGCGAGUAUGUAAAUAUAGAUAACGAUAAUGCUUAAAUAAAAUACCGUUUUACCUCUGUUCCGCAAUAGAUGCAAUGGACACUAUUCAUUAACUAACUUUAACAACCAUCCUUUCACAUUAUGUAAGAAUAAACAUAGACAAGUGAGAUCUUGUUAAAUUCGUAUCAAUACGAGGAUUCCAAAUAUCAAGUUUUUAUAAUUUUUACUUACACGCAAAUAGAUAUAUUAAUGUUCAAAGAAGCGUGAUGGAAUAUGUGAAAAAAGAAAUGAUGCAAGUAUUGUGAAACGGAGGUAGUAUAAAAUACGAGAUGAGAGUGCAUAAGUGGAUUGGAGUAAUAUCUUCAUAAUAUGGAAAAAUCUAUUUUGUGGAUAAAAUAUCUUAGGAGGAAGGUAUGUUUAUCAAGACGAUACUAUCUUAGGAUAAAUAAUAAUGGUUAAUAUUGAGUGGAAAGUCUAGGUGGAAGGUAAAAUGAAGUUAUGUUAACUAAUGUUCUUAGAGCUACGUGUCACGGUACGAAUAUUUUGGGCACUAGAUCGUGCGGCGCCCUCCUACCUAUUGGGCAGUAUGGGUGCAAGCCUUGUGCGGAACAAAUUCAAAGGGGCUCGUGAAGCCCGAGCGAGCAAGAUUUCUGAGAAGGGGCACUCUUGUCCAUUGGCGACAUGAAUGGGACGCGGACGCCGAUCGGGCACUUGUGUGCGCACAUCAGUCACAAGUGGGGACGACGACGCAAAUGUAUCUGUUCGGGAGACUUUGUUGAGGCAAGAUCUAUAAAUGCUUACAAUAAUGCUAGCGACAACACAAUAUCUAUAAAUGCUUACAAUAAUUCUAGUGAUUAAGCAAAGGUAACUUUUGGUGAGAGGUAUUGGUUCAUACCCAUUAUAGAGGUUUAUUUUGAAUUAGCUAAAACUGCCAGUAAACACUGAAUUGACAGAAAUACAAUAAUCUUAUCUUAUGUAAAACCUAGAAAUUUUAAAAAAAGUCAUAGAAAGCUUAGAUAAGAAAAGUACAAGGCAAGUAAGGUUGGAUUCUAACACUAUGUGAUGGACAUGGAGUUAAGGGAAUAAGAUAAUAUGAUGAGAUGGGAAGUAGGUAGUGGAGAAUGAUAGUAGGAAGUUGCCCCCUUUACCGUAGGUUUUGGAGUGUCUUUAUAUAAAACUCUAGGUAUAUCGUGGUUUAGGAAAUAAUGCUAGUAGUGCUCCCUUGAUCUUCUCAACCGUCUCCUUGAUCUUCUCAACCGCUUCCUUGAUCUUUUCUAACCAACUUGACCUUGAGCAAUAAGUAACCCAUUUUUCCAUUACUGGUUUGACCAGUAAGUAGGUGGAGAUAAUGGCUCCUUGAAUCUAGGAACCAACCUGGACUGCAUUCCUAAUAGGACCCGAGAGUGGCUGGCACGUGGUGACUUGUUCUCGCGCCGACUACGAUCCGUGUAAAACGACCCAUAACAACUACCACCACACUACCGCAGACCCACCGUCCAAAUUUCUAAAAUCGCCUCAACCACUGACCAACUACCGGUGGCGCCCAACCAAAACCCUCCUUGACCACGAAUCCACCACCAAAACCACCUACCCAACCACCGGAAUUUCACUCAUCCCCCUCAAAACCACCCAAUCAACACCGAAAUCAACCCAAACAAACCCUAACUUCGUCGAAUACCAAUCCACCACUUCGAAAACAACUAUAACCACUUGAAAACCAUACCACCUACCUUAAACAUGACCUCAAUCAUCAAAAAAAUCAAACAAGAUCUAAGAGAGAAAAAGAUAAGGGAGGAGAGAGAUAAAGAAGGCGAGGGAGGCGGCGGCGACGGAGCUGAGAUUGGCGGCGACGGUGGUUGAACCCAUGUUUAAGGGAAGAGCCAAAGAGUUGGUGGGAGUUGAUUUUGAAGCAAAGAGUGAAGUGAGAGAAUGGAAUGAAAACCAAACAGUAUUUUAUAUCAAAGGAUUUUUAUUCCAUUAUCCUUAAUUUCGUUUCUCAUACUCUUUCCCUUUCCCCUUCUCCAACCAAACGGCCCCUUAAGUAAGGGACUCAAGAAGAGCUAACUCUAAUUAUGGUUUAGAAACGUAUUGCAUUUCCAUGUGAAGCUUCUUUGAAUGUGUUCUUUGGCGUACAAGGUGGAGAGGGAUAAGGAAAAAUAAGAAGCUAGAUUCUGAUGUGGGUGCUCAAACAUGUGCAAAUAGAAUUGAAAGUAGGAAGACCUGAAAACAGUGUGAUGCUUCUUGUGCUUCAACCCUUCAGUUUCAUCCCCUGAUAUUUGUGCUGUGCUCAACAGCAUUUGCGAAAAACUGAUAUUUGAUCCUCAUAAAACUUUUUGUAAGUAAAUCUGUAAACAUAGUGUGGGGGUCUUACUAUUCAUGAUUAAGAUUUUUAGAUGGGAAUUAGAGCCUCAGAGGGAGAUGGUUCAUUAGGCUAGUUGGUGUCUCAGGAUUCCAAGACACCACUUGGCCCAAUUAAGUUCUUUAUUUUUGUUUAUAUAUGAAGGAAUAAAGUUUAGGAUAAAAUCCAAGGUCAUAGAAUUCAUACCCUAACAAAAUAUAUCAAGGUCCUUUCAUGAUUAUGCACUGCUUUUGUUUUUUGAGGGUUUUCUGCCCACCUUCAGCUUAAUUUUCUACAUCUAUUAUUGAAGUCCUGGCCUUUGGAAAGAGGUCUAGGAUUAAGUAAUAUAUGCAGUCUUGCUUUAGAAGAUAUCUCUUCCUUCUAGUAUAACCUAUGUUACUUGGACUCGGGUACGGGUGUCGGACACGGGUAUGGAUCCGAGUGUCGGACCUGGUAAAGUUAAAAUUUCAAGACACGAGGAUCCUGUCCUAAUUUUAGACACGGGUAUGGGAACAUGGAAAAAAGUUACUAGAAAAAUUAAUAAAUUAAAGAAAAAGAAAAUAAGAAUUAAUUUCUUUUGAAAAAAAGAAUUGACUAAGUUUUCUGAAAGCAGCUCCAUGCUUUAAACAAAAAACAAAGUGAAUUUUAUUCCUAAUUAACAGAUUUAGGGUUAAUUAAAACUAGAUUGGAAAUUUUCUUAAAGCAGGGGCUGACCAGCCAGUGUGACUGAUCGGCCAAGGAUCCGGUACGGAUUCCAUACCUGGAUCAGUGUCAUCAGUGGCGGAGCUAGAUAGGUGCAUGGGGGAUCCACCGACCCCCCAAAAAAAACUGGAAAAAAAAAACUUAUAGCUGAGAGCUAAGAGAUCUGGUAUUAUAGAAAACCGAUCUCUUAGGCUAUACUUGAAAACACCCGCCCCAUACGUAAGAGAUCAGUAUACUGUAGUGAUAAUCCUCAGUAUUUAAAAGAACCGUUCUCUUAGAAUUUAGAAUAACUACAGGGGGGAUUAUCUUACGAGAGCAGUCUUUAGAAAUAACUGGUCUCUUAGAAUUUUGAAUUUAAAUACCCGCUCUCUUUAAUUAAAUUAUUCUUUUCAGUUUUCACCACACAUAUGAAAACCGUAGAGAAUAAUUGUAAUAAUUUUGUACGAUUGUAAUAUGAAUAUUGAUUAAUUUAAGGACAAUACAUUUUUUUUAGUAAUAUUGUGUGUUGUAGAGGAUCACCCGACACAAUACUCUAAAAAUCCUGGGAACGUCACUGCCGACACCCCAAAAAAAAAUUCCGAGCUCCGCCACUAAGUGUCAUGUCGGGUCGACAUGGGUAUGAGUCCAAAAGAGGAGUGUCGAAGUAACACAGAGUAUAACUCAGCAUGCCAUAAUUAUUUAGGUCUAAAAGUGCUCAACAAGUUUAUAUCCUUCUGUUUUUUUAUGCAACUUGCAGCUAUGUCUACGAUGUCAUUUCUUUCGAACCUGAUUGUUAUUGUAAGGUGAAGAUUUUAUCAUGAAAAAAGGACAUUUAGGCCCUGUUUGGUAAUUAGAGUUUAGCGUUUAGCUGUUUACUGUUUACAUUAACAGUUAGCUGAUUACCUUUUUAUUUAGCAGAUUUGACUGCGGAUUUGACUAGCUGUUUAUAUAAACGUGUUUGGUAACACUUAGAGGUUUGAUAAAAGUUGUUCACCAUUUAAUUGUGCAAAAAGACACUUAUGGACAUUAGUCUUAUUAUUGCCUUUUUCAUUUUUUAUUAAUCAAUAAUUGUGAUAUAAAAUGUGAUUUGCUAAUUUAGAAAAUAUUGUACAACUUUAGAAAACACAAAUAAAUACCACGUACAUCAUUAGUAUUUAAUAUGUGAUAUUAUUAAAUACCAAUAACAACAAUAAUAAUUAAUAAUCAUCUUCUCACAUCAUACACACAAAAAUAUCAGAACAACGGAGAUAAAAAAACAUCUACAAAAAAAUGGGCAUUUAAGAACCCAAUAUAAAACCCACCCCUAAUAGAAUAAAAGCCCAUUAGAUAAUUAUUAAGUAAAAGUAAUAAAAGGAAAAAAAAUAUUCAAAGUCCUCCUAAACCCACACUCCAUUUCCGUUCUCCAACAAUCCAUCUUCGUCUUCACCUUCUUGUCAUCUCCGCCCGACAUUCCUCCAUCCCCAUCUCCUCAAAUAUAACUAUUUUCCAGUCCUAAAAUAUUUGGUAGAGCUCAUCAGCUCAACAUGCAACAAAAUCUUGAAGUAGGAGAAGUAAUUUGGUAGGGAUAUAUUCAACUUUUAAUUUUAAUUUUUUCAGGUAUUCUACCAAACGAAUGUUUUCCCCCAAUAAUUAUCACUGAAUAUCCAAUUAAAAGUUUUCCGGACUUUUUUUUGGGUUAGAUUUAUGGCUGUUCAAUUGUGAAUUAGUUUGGUAAAUCACUGAUCAAUCAGAGUUGUGGAGAUGUAGCUCAAGGAUUCAACAGGGAGGACAAGAUCGUCUUUUACAAUUUUGUAC
This is a long non-coding RNA of Spinacia oleracea (spinach), 8608 nucleotides long. RefSeq lists it as uncharacterized. The transcript is spliced from 3 exons. The record is from RefSeq and is a predicted model, not a curated record. Lineage: Eukaryota; Viridiplantae; Streptophyta; Magnoliopsida; Caryophyllales; Amaranthaceae.